UCUCCGUUGGUGAACCAGCGGAGGGAUCAUUACAGGACUCGCAAGACUCCUACAACCCUGUGAACUUAACUAUAAGCACGUUGCUUCGGCGGGUGUCUCGGAGGGGGUUCUCCCUCCCCGAGACGCUAAACCCGCCGGCAGCCUACUAUACUCUGUCUCUUUGCGUUGGCAUCUCGAGUACAAUCAAACAAGUUAAAACUUUCAACAACGGAUCUCUUGGUUCUGGCAUCGAUGAAGAAAGCAGC
Molecule: unclassified non-coding RNA, 245 nt
Filed under: plant metagenome
Description: partial contains small subunit ribosomal RNA, internal transcribed spacer 1, and 5.8S ribosomal RNA
Rfam family: 5.8S ribosomal RNA (bases 197-245)
Source: RNAcentral